GACGAACGCUGGCGGCGUGCCUAAUACAUGCAAGUCGAACGAGAGCGACCGGUGCUUGCACUGGUCAAUCUAGUGGCGAACGGGUGAGUAACACGUGGGUAACCUGCCCAUCAGAGGGGGAUAACAUCCGGAAACGGAUGCUAAAACCGCAUAGGUCUUCGAACCGCAUGGUUUGAAGAGGAAAAGAGGCGCAAGCUUCUGCUGAUGGGUGGACCCGCGGUGCAUUAGCCAGUUGGUGAGGUAACGGCUCACCAAGGCCGUGAUGCAUAGCCGACCUGAGAGGGUGAUCGGCCACAUUGGGACUGAGACACGGCCCAAACUCCUACGGGAGGCAGCAGUAGGGAAUCUUCCGCAAUGGACGCAAGUCUGACGGAGCAACGCCGCGUGAGUGAAGAAGGUUUUCGGAUCGUAAAACUCUGUUGUUAGAGAAGAACAAGUGCUAGAGUAACUGUUAGCGCCUUGACGGUAUCUAACCAGAAAGCCACGGCUAACUACGUG
This 498-nucleotide ribosomal RNA is filed under the name uncultured bacterium. RNAcentral's name for it is "partial 16S ribosomal RNA". It matches the Rfam family "Bacterial small subunit ribosomal RNA", at positions 28 to 507 of the family's 1533-position model. The record is from RNAcentral.